This 280-nucleotide ribosomal RNA is filed under the name uncultured bacterium. Its description in RNAcentral is "partial 16S ribosomal RNA". It matches the Rfam family "Bacterial small subunit ribosomal RNA", at positions 338 to 610 of the family's 1533-position model. The record is from RNAcentral.
CCUACGGGGGGCAGCAGUGGGGAAUAUUGCACAAUGGGGGAAACCCUGAUGCAGCCAUGCCGCGUGUGUGAAGAAGGCCUUCGGGUUGUAAAGCACUUUCAGCGAGGAGGAAAGGUCAGUAGCUAAUAUCUGCUGGCUGUGACGUUACUCGCAGAAGAAGCACCGGCUAACUCCGUGCCAGCAGCCGCGGUAAUACGGAGGGUGCAAGCGUUAAUCGGAAUUACUGGGCGUAAAGCGCACGCAGGCGGUUGGAUAAGUUAGAUGUGAAAGCCCCGGGCUC